UGAACCAGCUAUGUCGCGUGUACGAAGACAGUCUUUUAGUUUGUAAACUACUUUUGCAUAGAAAUAAAGCUACCUNCGUGAUAGUAGCCUGAAGGUACUAUGCGAAUAAGUGUCGGCUAAUUUCGUGCCAGCAGCCGCGGUAAUACGAAAGACACAAGCGUUAUCCAGAUUUAUUGGGUUUAAAGGGUGUGUAGGCUGUUUAUUAAGUCAGUAGUGAAAGCUUACAGCUUAACUGUAAAAUUGCUAUUGAUACUGAUAAUCUUGAGUAAGAUUGGAGUAUUUGGAAUGUAUGGUGUAGCGGUGAAAUGCAUAGAUAUCAUACAGAACACCAAUAGCGAAGGCAGGAUGCUAAAUCUUCACUGACGCUGAGGCACUAAAGCGUGGGGAGCAAAUAGGAUUAGAUACCCUAGUAGUCCACUGCCCUAAACGAUGAUCACUAGCUAUUGGAAAAACUAUAUUCAGUGGCUAAGCUAAAGCGAUAAGUGAUCCACCUGGGAAGUACGAUCGCAAGAUUGAAACUCAAAGGAAUUGACGGGGUUUCGCACAAGCGGUGGAGCAUGUGGUUUAAUUCGAUGAUACGCGAGGAACCUUACCAAGGCUUAAAUGUAUAACGAAUAAGCUGGAAACAACUUAGUCUAUAAGACGUAAUACAAGGUGCUGCAUGGUUGUCUUCAGUUCGUGCUGUGAAGUGUUGGGUUAAGUCCUAUAACGAGCGCAACCCCUAUUGUUAGUUGCCAGCGGGUAAGCCGGGGACUCUAACAAAACUGCCGGUGCAAACUGCGAGGAAGGUGGGGAUAAUGUCAAAUCAUUAUGGCCUUAAUGUCUUGGGCUACACACGUGCUACAAUGGCUGAUACAAAGGGCAGCCACUGGGUGACCAGGAGCUAAUCUCUAAAAACAGUCUAAGUUCGGAUUGGAGUCUGCAAUUCGACUCUAUGAAGCUGGAAUCGCUAGUAAUCGCGCAUCAGCAAUGGCG
Molecule: ribosomal RNA, 975 nt
Filed under: Flavobacteriales endosymbiont of Kuwanaspis takahashii D398
Lineage: Bacteria; Pseudomonadati; Bacteroidota; Flavobacteriia; Flavobacteriales
Description: bacterial SSU rRNA
Rfam family: Bacterial small subunit ribosomal RNA
Source: RNAcentral